AAUCCCAUGUCCAUAGGGACUUGAAGGACUCCAAAGGAUGUUACAGCAGUGGCAGAAACGGCUUGCUGGGCUUUUCUUGGCAAUUCAGGUGGUGAUGGGAAUUUGGAGCCACAAGUAUUACUGGAUAACUUCAGCACAAAUGUUCAAGAACCAACCUUGUUGCCUUGAGAGUUAAAAUAUAACCUGGUGACUCUGGCAUUGCCAGCCUGACGGAAGCAGACAAGCUGCUGAGGCCGUGUCCACUCAAACAUUCGCACGCUGCCAUCUUGGGCACCUGUGAGGUCUGCAACACGAGGGGAGACUGCAAGGAGCCCAUGGCACAGACCAUUCCUAAGAACCUGUAAGAGCUGGUAACAUACCACACUCGCUCCCGUGCUGGUCUGCCCGCUGCCCAGCCAUGGCAGGGAAGAAGG
This is a long non-coding RNA of Ochotona princeps (American pika), 413 nucleotides long. RefSeq lists it as uncharacterized. The transcript is spliced from 3 exons. The record is from RefSeq and is a predicted model, not a curated record. NCBI's taxonomy places the organism in Eukaryota, Metazoa, Chordata, Mammalia, Lagomorpha, Ochotonidae.